UUGGAGGGCAAGUCUGGUGCCAGCAGCCGCGGUAAUUCCAGCUCCAAUAGCGUAUAUUAAAGUUGUUGCAGUUAAAAAGCUCGUAGUUGAAUUUCGGGAUCAAUGGGUUGGUCAUGCCCUCGGCAUGUACUGAUUUCAUUGGUUCUCACCUUCUAAGGAACCAUGAUGUCAUUUAUUUGAUGUUGUGGGAAAUUAGGACUGUUACCUUGAAAAAAUUAGAGUGUUUAAAGCAGGCUAACGCUUGAAUACAUUAGCAUGGAAUAAUGAAAUAGGACAUCCGAUUCUAUUUUGUUGGUUUCUAGGAUCGAUGUAAUGAUUAAUAGGGAUAGUUGGGGGCAUUAGUAUUCAAUUGUCAGUGGUGAAAUUCUUGGAUUUAUUGAAGACUAACUACUGCGAAAGCAUUUGCCAAGGAUGUUUUCAUUAAUCAAGAACGAAAGUUAGGGGAUCGAAGACGAUCAGAUACCGUCGUAGUCUUAACCAUAAACUAUGCCGACUAGGGGUCGGAUGAUGCUUAUUUUUUAAUGACUCAUUCGGCGCCUUACGGGAAACAAUCACUAGUG
This 560-nucleotide ribosomal RNA is filed under the name uncultured Glomus. RNAcentral's name for it is "SSU rRNA". It matches the Rfam family "Eukaryotic small subunit ribosomal RNA", at positions 548 to 1105 of the family's 1831-position model. The record is from RNAcentral. Lineage: Eukaryota; Fungi; Glomeromycota; Glomeromycetes; Glomerales; Glomeraceae.